GGGGUUGUGGCUCAGUGGUAGAGCGCUUGCCUCACAUGUGAGACACUGGAUUCGGUUUUCAGCACCA
RNAcentral lists this transfer RNA (67 nucleotides) under Ictidomys tridecemlineatus (thirteen-lined ground squirrel). RNAcentral describes it as "Spermophilus tridecemlineatus (thirteen-lined ground squirrel) tRNA". It matches the Rfam family "tRNA". Rfam says of the family: Transfer RNA (tRNA) molecules are approximately 80 nucleotides in length. The record is from Rfam by way of RNAcentral. Lineage: Eukaryota; Metazoa; Chordata; Mammalia; Rodentia; Sciuridae.